UACGAAGGUGGCAAGCGUUAUUCGAAAUCACUGGGCUUAAAGGGCGCGUAGGCGGGAACGAAAGUGUCUUGUGAAAUCCCUCAGCUUAACUGGGGAAUGGCUCGGCAAACUACGUUUCUUGAGGCAAGCAGGGGUGUGUGGAACUCUUGGUGGAGCGGUGGAAUGCGUAGAUAUCAAGAGGAACGCCGAAGGUGAAAACAGCACACUGGGCUUGUACUGACGCUGAGGCGCGAAAGCGUGGGGAGCAAACAGG
This 253-nucleotide ribosomal RNA is filed under the name uncultured bacterium. RNAcentral describes it as "partial 16S ribosomal RNA". It matches the Rfam family "Bacterial small subunit ribosomal RNA", at positions 524 to 776 of the family's 1533-position model. The record is from RNAcentral.